GACGAACGCUGGCGGCGUGCCUAAUACAUGCAAGUUGAGCGAUGAAGCUUGGUGCUUGCACCAAUUUGAAGAGCAGCGAACGGGUGAGUAACGCGUGGGGAAUCUGCCUUUGAGCGGGGGACAACAUUUGGAAACGAAUGCUAAUACCGCAUAACAACUUUAAACAUAAGUUUUAAGUUUGAAAGAUGCAAUUGCAUCACUCAAAGAUGAUCCCGCGUUGUAUUAGCUAGUUGGUGAGGUAAAGGCUCACCAAGGCGAUGAUACAUAGCCGACCUGAGAGGGUGAUCGGCCACAUUGGGACUGAGACACGGCCCAAACUCCUACGGGAGGCAGCAGUAGGGAAUCUUCGGCAAUGGACGAAAGUCUGACCGAGCAACGCCGCGUGAGUGAAGAAGGGUUUCGGAUCGUAAAACUCUGUUGGUAGAGAAGAACGUUGGUGAGAGUGGAAAGCUCAUCAAGUGACGGUAACUACCCAGAAAGGGACGGCUAACUACGUG
RNAcentral lists this ribosomal RNA (497 nucleotides) under uncultured bacterium. Its description in RNAcentral is "partial 16S ribosomal RNA". It matches the Rfam family "Bacterial small subunit ribosomal RNA", at positions 28 to 507 of the family's 1533-position model. The record is from RNAcentral.